GAGAUGCAGCCUAAUGGUAGCGUGCAUGGCUAAUAUAUUUGAGGUCCUGGGUUCAAUCUCCAGCACACA
RNAcentral lists this transfer RNA (69 nucleotides) under Marmota monax (woodchuck). RNAcentral describes it as "tRNA.Ile". The record is from RNAcentral. Lineage: Eukaryota; Metazoa; Chordata; Mammalia; Rodentia; Sciuridae.